GUGCUUGUCUCAGUAGCACAAAUACUAUAAAUGGAACAGUGCAGAGAAAAUGAAUAUGACCCCUAGUCAAAGAUGACACCCAAAUUUGUGAAGCAUUUCUGUUUGUU
Molecule: small nuclear RNA, 107 nt
Organism: Vulpes vulpes (red fox)
Lineage: Eukaryota; Metazoa; Chordata; Mammalia; Carnivora; Canidae
Source: Ensembl